AAAUACAGAAAUUCCCAGGCCAGGGACUAAAUGUGAGCUGCAGCUGCAACCUAUGCCACAGCUGCGGCAAUGCUAGAUCCUGGACCCACUGCGCAGGGCCAGAGAUCAAGUCCACACCUCCACAUAAAAUACCGAGAAGCCUUCAGCUCUUUGGGGAACCAGUCAUGUUGUCAGAAGGAGAGAUGAAUACCAAUGAAUUCAGCAAUGUAGCACUUGAAGUCAUAUCUCAAUUCAUCUAAGAACUGUCCACAGUACUUGGAUAAUUAUCUAAGACAUUGUAUAGUAUAAAAACAAAAGUUCUAUUUGGUUUUGAAACAGACAGAAAAACCAACCUCAACAUGAAUGAGAAAAGACAAUGGAUACCAAUACCAAGAUGACAUAGAUUUAAGAAUUAUCUUACAGGGAUUUUAGAGCAGUCAUGAUAAAAUGCUUCAAAAUGAGCAUUUUUCAGUGAGACUAACACACACAGGAAACAAAGGAAAAAAAGAAAGUCUAAGAAAUAGAAAGUCUUAGCAAAGAAAUAGAAGACAUAAAGAAUAAAACUACAGAUCUAAAAUUAUAGUAACUGAAAUUAAUACACCAACAGAUAGGCUAAACGGCAGAAUGGAGGGGACAGAAGAAUCAGUGAACUAAAAGAUAAAACAAUAGGAGUUCCCGUCAUAGCUCAGUGGUUAACGAAUCUGACCAGGAACCAUGAGGUUGCAGGUUUGAUCCCUGGCCUCGCUCAGUGGGUUAAGGAUCCAGUGUUGCUGUGAGCUGGGGUGUAGGUCGCAGACGUGGCUCGGAUCCCACGUUGCUGUGGCUGUGGCAUAGACCAGUAGCUACAGCUCCAAUUCAACCCCUAGUCUGGGAACCUCCAUGUGCUGCGAGUGUGGCCCUAAAAAGACAGGGAAAAAAAAAAAAAAGAAUGAGAAAAGCCAGUAAGUGAGUUCAUACAACUUUAAUUUCAAUUUUAGUGUUCAGAGAAAAUCCUGGUUGCAAUCCCAAAUUGGUUUAAAUUUUUUUUUUAGAGAUGGCGUUUCAUAAAAGAAAUCAGACUAGAGAACAAAUGAUUAUCUAUUUCAACAACAAUCUCAAUUAUAUCCAAUAGAAUAAUUUUUGAAUAUUUAUAAAAAUCAUCCAAUCUUUCUCACUUUGAGAGAUAAGAAAAGUAAAAGUGGCACAUAUGUAUGCCAACAAAUAUUCAAUUUAUAAUAAAUCCAAAUAACCAGGCAACUAAGGAUGAACUGAAAAUAUAAAUGUAAGCCAAAAGAUGCUGUAACUCUCCUUUAUCACCUACAUUUCUUUUUUUAAAAUAUGAAUCAAUUCAUUUAAUUCUUUAAAAUACAUACUAAGAUGUAAAAUCAACUCCUAAGCUACAAACAACUAGUAAGUAGCAAUACAUUUAGAAAAGGAAAACUAAUCAAUAUUUCCUUAUAAUGACACCACCAUGUUAACCUUUAAGAAACUGCAGAUCUAAAUUUAUUGCAUUUCCUUGGUGCUGAGAUCACACAUGCAAGCAAACACACACACACACACACACACACACACACACACACACACACACCCAACAUCGCUGGAUGUCCCUCACUGACAUCCUCAGAUUUACAGAAGAUGACAUUGAAACAGAUCUCAGUAUUCUUCAAAUUUCCAUACAUCUAUUAAAGAACUUAUUUCAUCCUGGUUCAGAAAAUGAAUUCCAUAGAAAAAAGCAAAUCUAAAUGAAUACUGAAUCAACUUCCUGGCUCAACACCUUAUUUAGUGCUACGAAAUCUAUAAACAAGACUGAAAAAAAAAAGCGUUUCACAAAUUUCUUUAUGGAAAUAGUUUUAAAAAUUAAAAGGAUUAAUGUAUAAAACCAAUGUAUUCUGAACUACACAUGUACUGAGAGAAUGUUUAAAAUGAAUGAGGCACAAGCUUGGAAGCCUGGCUCUUGAACCCUAAAGUCAAACAAGGGCAACUCAUAAAUCACAUGAAAAAAAGCUGAAUCCCUCUUAAAAAUUUUAACCCUCAACUAUAUAUCAUAACUUUAUUAAAACCACUAAAUCGGAGAUGGCCAAUGAGAAGCUAAUUGUAGUCCUAAAGCUCCACUGUAGUCUGGGUAAGCAAGAUACUCAUAUUUUAAUAGGUACAAUUCAGUAAAACUGUUUAUGUCAAGUGUUUGAAACAUCAUUUCCCUGAAUACCAUGGAUCUGAUGGAGGUAGAACGGGAUUGGGCUGCAAGAUGGGACUCUGAAGGGAAGGGCAUGUGGGAAGAACAUUAACUAGCAGGGCAAGAGAAUCUUUAAAACUAAAGACUCUUGGAGUUCCUGUUGUAGCUCAGCAGUUUUGAAAUGUGACUAGUAUCCAUGAGGAUGCAGGCUGACUCUGGCCCUGCUCAGUGGGUUAAUGAUUCAGUGUUGUCACAAGCUGCAGCAGGUCAGAAGUGGCUUGGAUCUGGCUUUGCCGUGGCUGUGGUGUAGGCCGACAGCUGCAGUUCCUAUUCAACCCCUAGUCUGGGAACUUCCAUAUGCUGUGGGUGCGGCCCCAAAAAGAAAAAGAAAACAAAAUUAAGGACUUCUAUGGAAAAAAAAGAGUUCAGAAAGAACAUUUUUCUUCUCUAACUUAAUUUGAAUCUUAUACUAUUGCUUUCAAAUUUUGUUGUAAACCUACUUCAUUCUUUACCAUUUUAUUUGAUUAGAAAUAUAUGGGAGAUCCUAGUUAUAUAGAACAUAGUUUAUAAUUUUAAAAACUUUAAUAUAGAUACAAAAUAGAAAUUUUGUUAACAAAUGAAUUUUCUUAUCCACAGAGGAAGUACCAUCACACCAUGUAAUCUAGAAAAUCAGCUCCUUUUAAAGGAAGGACAAUUGGGGGACCAAAACUAUAAAAGAAUAACUGCUAACAUUCAUAUACUAGUUCUAAGAUAAUUUUCUUUCCAAUUAAAAAAUGCAUAUAAUUUACACAAAGCUACCAAGGUAAAGCAAUUUGUUGUUCUGCACAGCAAGAUCACUGGCAUGGGGACAGUUAAUGUUUCCACAACUAGAGUGGGACUAGAGAGGAAAAACUCACAUCACAAAAGGCAAUGACAUAAUUAAAUAAUUUUGUGUAAAAUUUAGCUUCUCAUGCAUAUUUGUUCAUUUGUCUUAUAUCCUUUUGCAUUAACUGUCUUAAGUUCUCCUUAGCUCAUCUACAAUUGACAGUACUUUACUAUGAAGUAUGGUUUCUCUAUGAAUUACUUUGUUAAGGAUAAAGCAGUUCAGAAGUUCCCACUGUGGCUCAGCAGGUUAAGGAACUGAUGUUGUCUCUGUGAGAAUGUGGAUUCUAUCCCUGGCCUUGCUCAGUGGGUUAAGGAUCUAGCAUUGCUGUAAGCUGUGGCAUAGGUUGCAGAUGUAGCUCGAGAUCCAAUGUUGCCAUGGAUGUGGCGUGGCCUCAGCAGCAGCUCCGAUUUGAUCCCUAGCCUAGGAACUUUCAUAUGCCUUAGGUCAGCAGUAAAGAGAGAAAAAAAAAAAAAAAAAAAAAA
RNAcentral lists this long non-coding RNA (3478 nucleotides) under Sus scrofa (pig). Its description in RNAcentral is "lncRNA (ENSSSCG00005039315.1)". Lineage: Eukaryota; Metazoa; Chordata; Mammalia; Artiodactyla; Suidae. The record is from RNAcentral.